RNAcentral lists this ribosomal RNA (409 nucleotides) under bacterium. RNAcentral describes it as "partial 16S ribosomal RNA". It matches the Rfam family "Bacterial small subunit ribosomal RNA", at positions 355 to 776 of the family's 1533-position model. The record is from RNAcentral.
UGGGGAAUAUUGCACAAUGGGCGAAAGCCUGAUGCAGCGACGCCGCGUGAGGGAUGACGGCCUUCGGGUUGUAAACCUCUUUCAGUAGGGACGAAGCGCAAGUGACGGUACCUGCAGAAGAAGCACCGGCUAACUACGUGCCAGCAGCCGCGGUAAUACGUAGGGUGCGAGCGUUGUCCGGAAUUACUGGGCGUAAAGAGCUCGUAGGCGGUUUGUCACGUCGUCUGUGAAAUCCUAGGGCUUAACCCUGGACGUGCAGGCGAUACGGGCUGACUUGAGUACUACAGGGGAGACUGGAAUUUCUGGUGUAGCGGUGGAAUGCACAGAUAUCAGGAAGAACACCGAUGGCGAAGGCAGGUCUCUGGGUAGUAACUGAUGCUGAGGAGCGAAAGCAUGGGUAGCGAACAGG